RNAcentral lists this ribosomal RNA (506 nucleotides) under uncultured bacterium. RNAcentral describes it as "bacterial SSU rRNA". It matches the Rfam family "Bacterial small subunit ribosomal RNA", at positions 28 to 526 of the family's 1533-position model. The record is from RNAcentral.
GAUGAACGCUAGCGGGAGGCCUAACACAUGCAAGCCGAGCGGGAUUUGAGACUAGCUUGCUAGUCUUAAUGAGAGCGGCGUACGGGUGCGGAACACGUGUGCAACCUGCCUUUAUCUGGGAGAUAGCCUUUCGAAAGGAAGAUUAAUAUCCCAUACUAUAAUGAUUGGCAUCAAUUAUUAUUGAAAGCUCCGGCGGAUAGAGAUGGGCACGCGCAAGAUUAGAUAGUUGGUGAGGUAACGGCUCACCAAGUCGAUGAUCUUUAGGGGGCCUGAGAGGGUGAUCCCCCACACUGGUACUGAGACACGGACCAGACUCCUACGGGAGGCAGCAGUGAGGAAUAUUGGACAAUGGGUGAAAGCCUGAUCCAGCCAUCCCGCGUGAAGGAUUAAGGACCUAUGGUUUGUAAACUUCUUUUCUACAGGGAUAAACCUACUCUCGUGAGAGUAGCUGAAGGUACUGUAGGAAUAAGCACCGGCUAACUCCGUGCCAGCCGCCGCAGUAAAAC